RNAcentral lists this long non-coding RNA (1107 nucleotides) under Anas platyrhynchos platyrhynchos (common mallard). RNAcentral describes it as "lncRNA (ENSAPLG00000022036.1)". Lineage: Eukaryota; Metazoa; Chordata; Aves; Anseriformes; Anatidae. The record is from RNAcentral.
UGGUCAGCACGGAGAGCUGGCUGCCUGCACCCAACCCUGCAGACCUACGGGGAGAAAAACACUGCUCCCAAGAGGGAGCGGGACAGGGGAACGGGGCCGGCAGGCAAACACUCGCCGUGACCUCUGGCAGGCCCAAAGCUCGCAGCGGGGCCUCCCGGUGCGUGCCCAGGCACCCAGCGGGGCCACAGGGCCGGGGCUGGCGCCGACACUGCAGCAGCACGGGGCGACGGGGCAGGGGGGAAAACACGGAUAUAUAUUAAAAAUAAUACCAAUAUGUUAAAAAUAGAGAGGUAUACACUUAAAAUAAUAAUAGUAGGUUAAAAAUAUAGAUACAUACAUUAAAAAUGAUAGGUUAAAAAUAUAGAUAGACGUUACAAAUAAAUAUAAUAUGUUAAAAUAUACAGGUGUACGUUAAAAAUAACAAUAUAUGUUAAAAAUAGUAAUGUAUAUUGAAGAUGAUAUAAAAUUAUGAGUGAACACACAGCAGGAACGCACGGGGCGGCAGCACACGGCUGCGGAGCGGGCCGGCCGCCCUUCCCCGGGCGGGUUUUCCCGCUGGAGCCCCGUUCCCCCACCGCCGCCACCCCGAAGCGUGCCCCGGCCGCUGCCGCCCUGCCCUGCCCUGCCCUGCCCCGGCCCCUGGAGGGCCGCGGAGGCGGCGGCGGCCCCGGGCAGCGCCGAACCUACCUCGGGCCGGCCGGGCGGGGGCACGGCGCUGCUGCCCCCCCCCCUCCCUUCCCUCCGCCCGCCGCCGCCGCUGCCCCGGCCUCGCCACCGCCCCGGGGCGCCAGCCAACCAGCGGCCGCCCUCCGGCUACACCCUCCGCCCGCCGCCAAUGCGGAGCGCCCGCGGCGUGGCGUCACGGCGGGCGCCGGCAACGCCUCCCCAACGCCCCCCCGGUUCCUGGAAGGAGGGCGGGGGGGGGGGGUUGGAGCACCCCCGCCUCGCUGCCCGCUGCCCGUCCCGAGGGCAGGUGGCCCUCCGCAGGCGGCUUUCCGCGCAGUUUGCUCGCUUUUCUGUAAAGCCUGCCUUUUUUCAUCCGCAGCUUCUCGUAUUUACACUGGCACAUGGGCUGUUUUUCCCUGUUUUGUAGUUAUACGUGGGUGA